AAGAGCAUAAAAAUAUCCAUAAGAAAAACCUAGAUAUGAAAUUCAAACAAGUUCAACAUAAGAUCCACAACAUCCAAAAACAACUUCCAAAUUCCAAAAAAAAAGCAGUAUUCAAUUCAAAAUGAUAGAGAUCGAGAUGAAAAUCAUUCCUGAGCUCCUUCUUUCUGG
This is a non-coding RNA of Arabidopsis thaliana (thale cress), 168 nucleotides long. RefSeq annotates it as other RNA. The transcript has a single exon. NCBI's taxonomy places the organism in Eukaryota, Viridiplantae, Streptophyta, Magnoliopsida, Brassicales, Brassicaceae. The record is from RefSeq.